AGCCAUGCGAGUCGCGAGAAUUAGAUUCUCGGCGUACCGCUCAGUAACACGUGGGUAACCUGCCCUAUGCUGGAUAAUAACCUCGGGAAACUGAGAAUAAUGAUCCAUAGUUCACUACGCCUGGAACGGUGAGUGGAUGAAAGCUCCGGCGGCAUAGGAUGGGCCUGCGGCGUAUCAGGUUGUAGGGGGUGUAACGUACCCUCUAGCCCUCUACGCGUACGGGUGUUGGGAGACAUAGCCCGGAGAUGGAUUCUGAGACACGAAUCCAGACCCUACGGGGUGCAGCAGGCGCGAAAACUUGGCAAUGCGAGAAAUCGUGACCAGGGAACUCCAAGUGCAUCGGGUAAGAACCGGUGCUUUUUCUUGACUCUAAAUAAGUCUUGGAAUAAGGGGUGAGGUAAGACGGUGGCCAGCCGCCGCGUAAUACCGGCGCCUCAAGUGGUAGUCGUUUUAAUGGGCCAAAACGUCCGAAGCCGGUUGGACCUUCGUGGGUAAACCACUUGCUCACGAGUUGAAUCUGGAAGGACGCCCAACUUGGACCGAAAAGGGGGUAUCCUCAGGGAGGGUAAAUCGUGCUCCUGAAGACCCUGUUGAAGCCCACAUAAAACGAUCCAAAGCAGGACAACCUAGGCACAACGAUUAAUACCGGAUCCUAGGU
RNAcentral lists this ribosomal RNA (658 nucleotides) under uncultured archaeon. RNAcentral's name for it is "bacterial SSU rRNA". It matches the Rfam family "Archaeal small subunit ribosomal RNA", at positions 47 to 752 of the family's 1478-position model. The record is from RNAcentral.